Molecule: ribosomal RNA, 241 nt
Filed under: Cucumispora ornata
Lineage: Eukaryota; Fungi; Microsporidia
Description: partial small subunit ribosomal RNA
Rfam family: Microsporidia small subunit ribosomal RNA
Source: RNAcentral
UGUAAGCGAACAAUUAGGGAGCUGCGGACUGCUCAGUAACAGGCGAUUAAUUUAAUCUUUACAAAUGGACAAACUCAGGAAACGGAGUGUAAUACAUAAAAAAUGAUUUUUUAAAUAAAAAGAAAACAUUUUUAGCUUGAAAAAAGCGGUAAAGAAUAAGACGCCAACCCAUCAGUUAGUAAGUAGGGUAAGGGCCUAUUUAGACGAAUACGGGUACGGGGAAUUAGGGUUUGAUUCCGGA